AAGGCCUUAGCUUAAUGAAAGUGUCUGUUUUGCAUGCAGGAGAUGUGGGAUAGAGGCCCGCAGGUCUUA
This 69-nucleotide transfer RNA is filed under the name Lestidium atlanticum (Atlantic barracudina). RNAcentral describes it as "tRNA-Ala". It matches the Rfam family "tRNA". Rfam says of the family: Transfer RNA (tRNA) molecules are approximately 80 nucleotides in length. Their secondary structure includes four short double-helical elements and three loops (D, anti-codon, and T loops). The record is from RNAcentral. Lineage: Eukaryota; Metazoa; Chordata; Actinopteri; Aulopiformes; Paralepididae.